UCUCUGGCACUCCCAGGGGGCCACUGUCGGGGACACCUGUGAGUAAGACACUCAGCCCGACCUCAGGGAGCACAAAGCCCAGUGGGGAGCGGUUGAAACAAUGGGCUAAAUGCCACAGAGCGGUGCACCUGGGAGCUGGGGUCCUGGCCAGGAGGAACAGUGCCCAAGAGAGGCCUUGGAAAGCCAUGGUGAUGUCCCUGUGGGGCUCUGAAGGAUGACAAGGGAGCUGCCAGUACCUGAAGGGUGAGGAAGAUGUGUUCUAGAAGGUGCAGCACUGGCAAAGCGUCACCGUUCAAUAUUCCCAAUCCAGAAACCAUCUCUGAGCAGCUUCUUCCCUCAAACACCUGGGGCCAAGGCCAUUCCUGAUGUGAGUGGAGGAUCAGUGGGUGCGUGGAAUGGGCCGGCACCACUAGCUGUGGGUCCUGGGCUCUUGGGAAUAAUCCAGAGGACCCCAGUGCCUGCCCUUCUGGGAGCUGAGGACCUAAAGGCUUAUGAUAUCAAUGCCCUUCCCCAAACUUGAAAGAAAUGUAAAAAUCACCCGACUUUUUUUUGUUUUAGACGGAGUCUCACUUUGUUACCCAGGCUGGAGUGCAGUGGUGCGAUCUCGGCUCACUGCAACCUCCACCUCCUGGGUUCAAGUGAUUCUCCUGCCUCAGCCUCCUGAGGCGCUGGGAUUACAGGCUUGUACCACCACGCGCAGCUAAUUUUUGUAUUUUUAGUAGAGAUGGGGUUUCACCAUGUUGGCCAGGCUGGUCUCGAACUCCUGGCCGCAAGUGAUCCAUCUGCCUCAUUCUCCCAAAGUGCUGGGAUUACAGGCGUUAAGUCACUGCACCCAGCCACCCCUGACUUUUCUCCUGAAGCUGGAACAACCCCAGAUUCUUUGUGGUCUUGGGAAAAAGUGAAGAUGGAAUAGCCACCCUGUCACUGUAGGGAGACAGCUGCCUGCUCCAGUGCACUCUGAAGGGCACCCUCCAUGUGGGCAUUGUCUGACCAGCCAACCCUCAUUUUCGGUUCCACCUCUAUGACUGGGUUUGAUCAGAGCUCACAAGGUGGAAAACACAACAUUUCACUGGGAGGAGGAUCUGCUCUGUCUGAGGAGCCGGUGGGAGUAGAGAUUCCCCCAGUGCAGGCAUGGGCACUGCGGGGAGCAUGCCUGCACACAUCACAGUCAGGCAGGGCUGGGAAGCAGGAUGGAGUUGCGGUGGGAAGGAGCAGCUCCCUCUCACUGUGAGAUCGGGAGAGACUGGGGGUGAUGAUUUGUACCUUCUGGGGACCUCGGUGGAUAGCUUCUAUUUCCAAGUCCCUGGCUUCCCUACAGCCAUGAUGACCAGAGGAUACCCUGAAGCUGAAAGGUAAGGAGCUCCAGGGACUCACAGAGAUCUCUGAGGCUGGGAUCUUGCCCAGGGCAUGGGUGAGGCUGCCCUGUGUCCUGACCUUGGAGUGUGGCCACAGCAGGAGGGGCCUCUGCAACCCUCAGGGGUGUCACCCUUACCUCCCUGGAGAGGACGUGGCCAUCACUCCUCUUGCAGGCCACACAGACCUGGGUUUGCAUCUUGUUGUGGCCACCUACCAGCUGGGUUAUGUUGAACAGCUCAGGGGACUUCCCUGAGCCUCAGUUUCCACGCUGGCACUCACAAUCCCUCACGGUGCUAAGCGGGCGGUCUGGUGUCUGAAGAGGUUCCCUGGAGGCUUGGAGGUGGGCGCAGUGUGGAUAUCCUAGUUACACAGCCCUGGCCCAACACCUUCUCCUGACAGCUGCGAAGCCACAGCCUCACCAGGGGCAGGAACGCAUGUGUCCCAUGGUCUUCAGGGUGGCCUCUCUGCAUGUAGUGGGGUCUGAACACUUGGUGUCUGACAGCCAUGCAAACAGCCCUUUCAGAACUGCCCUGGUUCCUGCCAGGCACCUGGACUUGGAGCUGUUUUUAUGGCUUCGUAAGCACAGACGAGCCUCUGAUAUCUGAUAAAAAGCGCACAAGAUGGCAACCAGCUGAGAAGUUCAUUAUCUUGGAAAAGCCAAAACUGCUUACUCAAGACAAAGCAGUUCUGGUCUUGGGUGGGGAGGCAGUGCCUGGGAAGCCUCCAGUGGGGGCUUCCGGGACGGACAGGGAAAUAUAAAUGCAUCAUUAUGUCA
Non-coding RNA from Callithrix jacchus (white-tufted-ear marmoset), 2131 nucleotides. NCBI's taxonomy places the organism in Eukaryota, Metazoa, Chordata, Mammalia, Primates, Cebidae. The record is from RefSeq and is a predicted model, not a curated record.